This is a long non-coding RNA of Silurus meridionalis, 4096 nucleotides long. RefSeq lists it as uncharacterized. The transcript has 5 exons. Lineage: Eukaryota; Metazoa; Chordata; Actinopteri; Siluriformes; Siluridae. The record is from RefSeq and is a predicted model, not a curated record.
GUACUUCAGAAUUAACCCUACACCAUUUCUUUUUCCAUCUACACCAUGAUAAAACAGUUUAAACACCACCAAUGUUCCUGGCGUUACUCCUUUUCCCUCCCAGGUUGUUGAAGAUGGUGACGGAGGUGAGGUGUGUUGAGGGUGGUGAGGGUUGAGAUGUGAAGAACUUGCAGGAUGUGCAGUCAAAACAUUAGUAGCUACAUUUACAUUGCAAACACACAUGACUCGACUUUAUGAAAAGAAGAAACCAAUAGCUGUGGCUUUUAUUACAUAAAAUCUUGAUAUGUAAUUAUAGCUGUGUAAUAUCUGUGUACAUUUGUGUAUUUUUUUGUUCAUUUGAUUUGUCAGUAACUGGAAGGCUAAAAUGUGUGAAAAGAUUUUGAGGUUGGCUUGACAGAGUCCCCUAAACAAUAAAGGAGGGUGUUUCUAGGUGGUUGCUUUACAGUUCCAGCUGGUUGAUUGGGUGAUGUUUAGUGGUUUGUAUGAUAUUCCUGACAGCUGCUGGGUGAUUUGAUAUUCCACAUGUUGGUUGAUAUGUUUCUCUGUGGUCCUACCCAUCGGAAUCUAAAGCAGUCGUUUUUUGUUUUGCAUCUGAGAGGAGGAAUUUACUAUUCAGAGCAGAAGCAAAUGCUGGUGGUGGUGGAUUGUUGUGUUGUUGGUGCAGUGUGUCUCAGGUGAUUGUUGUGUUGUUGGUGCAGUGUGUCUCAGGUGAUUCAUCGCCACUUCAAGAUCUUGCGAUUUCUGUAGACAACUCGCAGAUCCCACCUCCGGUCCCUAACUUGGGGUUGCUCAGGUGCUUGUUUGGUCCCUGGUCAUCUCGAGACUGGACGACUACAACUCACUCCUGUAAGCUCUGCCUCUGAGGGACAUUCGACCUCUGCAACUGAUCCAGAAUGCAGCUGCACAAACGUAUUUUUAACUUUUCCAUUUUCUGCCACACCACCACAUUGCUACGAUUCCUCUGCUGGCUUUCUCUAGCUGCCCACAUUAGUUUGAAAACAUUAAAGCUUUCUUACAAAGCCCAAAAUAGACCAGCACAUCUCUGUAUUUAUCUUGCCCCAAACUGCACCACUGGCCACACCAUUUCUCUGGGUACAGGGAAAAAAUGCUUCAAGACUUUUCUGUUCUGGCACUGAGGUGGUGGAACAAAAAUCCAUUUGAUGUCCAAAUCUCAAGUCUCUUGCAGCCUUCAAACAACGUCUAAAGACCAACAUUUGGCUAUUCUAAGUAUUUUCAGUAUAUAGCAUCAGAGUUUUUUAGACUGAUAGUAUUAUUUAUUUAUGUCUUAAUAAACCAGUAUCCGGAUGUAUUCACUGAUAGACACGUGAAAGUAAGUAACUCUGGAUAAGGAUGUCUGCCAAACUCCGUAAAUAAAAGUGUUUUUAUAAAUAUGCCUGGAAUUCACCUUUAAAUGAGUUUUCAAGACCAUGGGUUGAGGAUGGCUAUCUUCACAUACAAAAGAUCCUCAGGUAGAGACUUUGAAGAAGCUUGAGGAUGCAGACGCUCCAGUUGUUCAUCAAAGUUUUAGGAUCAGCUUCAAAAGACUGUUUUUUUGGCAAGAAAAUCACAGCCUGGACAAUGUUCAUGAGCUCGGGUUGUGUUUUUCCGGAGAAAGUAAUGAUGAAGAGAGGGAACCGUUGCUCACUGCUUCAGUUGAACAUGAACAACAGAAGAUUUCAGUGCAGUGUGUCGACGACCCAGAGCCUAUGAAGCCCAUGGUGCAUUAUGAAGAUGAGACCUUCCCAAUGUACCAUCAUCCACCAGUGGAAGCUGAAGGAGAAAACCUGAAGUCAAAAUUUUUACUUCUGAAUAAAGUUUAAUAAUAAAAAUGUAGUCUUAAGACUGGUUGAAACAAACAAACAUACUGUACAUUGUGCAUACACUGGCAUUCCUGUCAUUUCAUCAGGGAUGUGAAUGCAAAGGGCCACAGCAUCAUUACUUACCCAAAUCAUUACUCAACUGCAGAGAUGGCAAAUGUACACACAUCCUUCACUCAAAUAGAAGUACAGAUACUCGUGUUUUAAAAGACUCUGGUCAAAGUUCUGACUACACUUUUUUUACUCAAGUUAAAGUAAAAAAGUUUGGGCUCUGACAUGUAGUUCAGUAAAAUGUAGUCAUUAUUACUACGCGUUAUGGUGUCAUGUUGGUAACUGAACCUCACAUCAUAUUAAUAUAUAAUAGAAAAUAAAUUCAAAUGUUUUUAUCUAAUGAAUGUAUUCAGGCUGAACAACAUAGCAGAGAAAAGAUGAUGAUGAUCAGGUGAUCAGGAAUGUCUCUGUUAUCAGUCAUGUUUAUAUCGCUGACACCCUCUGUCUCAUCCACGUCAACCCCAUACUUCUUGUUGCCUUCUGCCACGCUCGUUGUUAGAUUUGUAAACUUGUCUACAUCUAUGGUGCGUGUGAGCCAGUAAAUUAUAAUCCAGUGGUAGAUUGAAAAAGCCACGCAAUGACAAGAAACGUGUUAAAAACGGCACGCAAUGAGAAGAAAAAAUAUUGAUGAUGUCACUAAAUAGAUUAAAACUAAGGUAACGAGUCUGGUUUGAAAAUGUAAGAAGUAGAAAGUACAGAUGUUUGUGUAACAUAUGUAUCGAGUGAAAGUAAAACGUUGUCAGAAAAUAAAUAAUGAAGAAAGCAUUGAUACCAGAGAAAUCUACUUAAAAAAACGAUUAGAAAAUUCCCAAAAUUUUUACACCAAGACAUGCUUUACCCAGGACAAGUGUGGGAAAUUGGCAUAGCUGUUUUUAAAUAAAACACCAUGCACAUCAAAAAAAUCAAUAAAAUGGAAAUAAAAUAAAAAUGUAAAAAGUAAUUUUUUUUCUGUGCAGCCCAGUACUAGUCCACAGCCUGGUGUAUGGGGCCUGGUUUAUGCCUGGUGUAUGUGGACCCCUGAUUUAACAAAUCACAAUUUAAUUUUUGCAUAAUGAAAAGCCUGAUAGUGGUAUAGAAAUGAACCCUAUUGAUCCUAGAUAACUGGCAAACAUUUCCUGUGCACCAUAAAAAAAAAAAAAAAAAAACCUAAUUGACAGAGUCAUUCUUAAGAGAACUGACAGAUUUUAUUUGCAAGACUGAACAGUGUUUCCAAAAUACAUGUGGAAUAAACAACUUUUGUUUCAAAAUGCAUAGAACACAAUUUAUAUGAAUCGUUUUGCACAAGUGACUGAAAAAAUACUGACUUGUAAACUAAUGAUCUAAGAAAAGAGGGAUACACGUCUAAUGUGUUCAUUAGGGCUGUAAAAAAAAUACACAUUCGAUUCCUUCCAAAAAGUUAAAUGUGUUAAAUUAAACACAUGAAUUUCUUUCUGAAGAAUUUCUGAAAAUCUUAAUAGAUUAGUGUAAAUUUGGGUUAAAAUUGUAGGUGAAUGAAUUCCAAUGAUUUAUUUCAUUACACUAAUCCGCCGUCCGGGAAAAAUCCGGUCUAAAAAUAACCUCUUGUACCCAGAGCUGAUAUUGUUGAGUAAAAUUUAAUUCCAUGUACAAUUAUUACAUAAAAGAUAUAAUCAAUCAUUGUAUCGCAUGCUAAUAAACAUGAUAUACAAUAAAGCACAUAGAGGGGACUUCUUUACAGAAAACAUAAUUUUUCUUGUUUGAAUUUUUUAUUUUAUUCUAUUUUUGAAGUUUUCUAUUUGUAUUGGUUUAAAUAAGAUUUUCAGCCCGUGGUGGUAUCAACAUUUCACAGCUCAAUAUCCAACCUAUUAUAUGUAGAUAGAAAGGAUUUAAAAUGGUUCCCAGGAUAGAGAGUCAUGAAGAGAGCAUUAGUAAAUCACAUGUAACUUUUUAAAAAUUGUGAUGGAUGGGCUCAACCACCGUUAUUGUAUUUAACUGGAAAGAAUGUAGGCAUUUAAAGAUAAUGGUGGCAGAUGAGGGAAUGAUUGAAAAAAAAGUUGAGCAUUACACAGAGGGCAGAAGAAGGUAUAUAAAGUCCUUGUGUUGACUGUUUUUGGGUGUUUUGAUGGAAUUGCCUGGUUUUAUUUCUGCUAAAUAAAGGCUUCUUCUUUGACACCACAACCCUGGACACUCUCCAUCACUUCAUCUAACUCACUCCAGAAUUUUUCUUUCUCCUCUAACUCACAGCCUAUUUGUGGAGCAUAAGCACUGAU